AGAGUUUGAUCCUGGCUCAGAACGAACGCUGGCGGCGUGGAUUAGGCAUGCAAGUCGAGCGAGAAAGUCCCCUUCGGGGGGCGAGUACAGCGGCGACCUGGUGAGUAACAGGUGGGCAACGUGCCCUUGAGUGGGGGACAACCUUCAGAAAUGGAGGCUAAUACCGCAUUCGGUCUUGGGGUCGCAUGGCUCCAAAACGAAAGGCCCUUCGGGGCCGCUCGAGGAUCGGCCCGCCCCCGAUUAGCUUGUUGGUGGGGUAACGGCCUACCAAGGCUACGAUCGGUAGCUGGUCCGAGAGGAUGGCCAGCCACACUGGAACUGAGAUACGGUCCAGACUCCUACGGGAGGCAGCAGUCUAGAGGCUUCGGCAAUGGACGAAAGUCUGACCGAGCGACGCCGCGUGUGGGAUGAAAGCCGUGAGGUCGUAAACCACUGUCAGCGGGGAAGAAUGCCCGGAUGGCGAAUCCGGGAGCGACGGUACCCGCGGAGGAAGCCCCGGCUAACUACGUGCCAGCAGCCGCGGUAAUACGUAGGGGGCGAGCGUUGUUCGGAUUUACUGGGCGUAAAGCGUGCGUAGGCGGUUUGGCAAGUCCGGCGUGAAAUCCACACCACUCAACGGGUGGGUGUCGCUGGAUACUACCAGGCUAGAGGACGAGAGAGGAAAAUGGAAUUCCAGGUGUAGCGGUGGAAUGCGCAGAUAUCUGGAAGAACACCAGUGGCGAAGGCGGUUUUCUGGCUCGUUUCUGACGCUGAUGCACGAAAGCCAGGGGAGCGAACGGGAUUAGAUACCCCGGUAGUCCUGGCUGUAAACGGUGAGUGCUAGGUGUGGGGGGUAUCGACCCCCUCUGUGCCGCAGCUAACGCAAUAAGCACUCCGCCUGGGAAGUACGGCCGCAAGGUUGAAACUCAAAGGAAUUGACGGGGGCCCGCACAAGCGGUGGAGCAUGUGGCUUAAUUCGACGAUACGCGAGGAACCUUACCCAGGCUUGAACUGCCAGGUAAACCUCUGGAAACAGGGGCUCCUUCGGGAAUCUGGUAGAGGUGCUGCAUGGCUGUCGUCAGCUCGUGUCGUGAGAUGUUGGGUUAAGUCCCGCAACGAGCGCAACCCUUGUCGCUAGUUACCAGCGGUAACGCCGGGGACUCUAGCGAGACUGCCGGCAUAAGCCGGAGGAAGGUGGGGAUGACGUCAAGUCCUCAUGGCCCUUACGUCUGGGGCUGCACACGUGCUACAAUGGCCGGUAACAACGGGUCGCAAGGCCGCGAGGCCAAGCCAAUCCCUGAAAACCGGCCCCAGUUCGUAUUGGAGUCUGCAAUUCGACUCCAUGAAGCCGGAAUCGCUAGUAAUCGCGCAUCAGCAUGGCGCGGUGAAUACGUUCUCGGGCCUUGUACACACC
RNAcentral lists this ribosomal RNA (1393 nucleotides) under metagenome. RNAcentral's name for it is "bacterial SSU rRNA". It matches the Rfam family "Bacterial small subunit ribosomal RNA". The record is from RNAcentral.